CGAACGCUGGCGGCACGCUUAACACAUGCAAGUCGACCGAGAGAAGAGAAGCUUGCUUUUCUGAUCUAGUGGCGGACGGGUGAGUAACACGUGAGCAAUCUGCCUUUCAGAGGGGGAUACCGAUUGGAAACGAUCGUUAAUACCGCAUAACAUAAUUGAACCGCAUGAUUUGAUUAUCAAAGAUUUAUCGCUGAAAGAUGAGCUCGCGUCUGAUUAGCUAGUUGGUAAGGUAACGGCUUACCAAGGCGACGAUCAGUAGCCGGACUGAGAGGUUGAUCGGCCACAUUGGGACUGAGACACGGCCCAGACUCCUACGGGAGGCAGCAGUGGGGAAUAUUGCACAAUGGAGGAAACUCUGAUGCAGCGAUGCCGCGUGAGGGAAGAAGGUUUUAGGAUUGUAAACCUCUGUCUUCAGGGACGAAAAAAGACGGUACCUGAGGAGGAAGCUCCGGCUAACUACGUG
RNAcentral lists this ribosomal RNA (463 nucleotides) under uncultured bacterium. Its description in RNAcentral is "partial 16S ribosomal RNA". It matches the Rfam family "Bacterial small subunit ribosomal RNA", at positions 30 to 507 of the family's 1533-position model. The record is from RNAcentral.